CCUACGGGUGGCAGCAGUGAGGAAUAUUGGUCAAUGGGCGUAAGCCUGAACCAGCCAAGUCGCGUGAGGGAUUAAGGUUCUAUGGAUCGUAAACCUCUUUUAUAAGGGAAUAAAGUGUGGGACGUGUCCUCUUUUGUAUGUACCUUAUGAAUAAGGAUCGGCUAACUCCGUGCCAGCAGCCGCGGUAAUACGGAGGGUCGGCGCGUUUUCCGGAUUUAUUGGGGUUAAAGGGUGCGUUGGCGGCCUUUUUAGUCAGCGGUGAAAGUUUGUGGCUCAACCACAGAAUUGCCGUUGAAACUGGGGGGCUUGAGUAUGUUUGAGGCAGGCGGAAUGCGUGGUGUAGCGGUGAAAUGCUUAGAUAUCACGCAGAACCCCGAUUGCGAAGGCAGCCUGCCGAGCCAUGACUGACGCUGAUGCACGAAAGCGUGGGGAUCAAACAGGAUUAGAUACCCCGGUAGUC
This 460-nucleotide ribosomal RNA is filed under the name uncultured bacterium. RNAcentral's name for it is "partial 16S ribosomal RNA". It matches the Rfam family "Bacterial small subunit ribosomal RNA", at positions 338 to 795 of the family's 1533-position model. The record is from RNAcentral.